GGACUACUGGGGUUUCUAAUCCUGUUCGCUCCCCACGCUUUCGCGCCUCAGCGUCAGUAUUAAGCCAGGUGGCUGCCUUCGCCAUCGACGUUCCUUCCGAUCUCUACGCAUUUCACCGCUACACCGGAAAUUCCGCCACCCUCUCUUAUACUCCAGUCAGCCCGUUUGCGAUGCACUUCCCAGGUUAAGCCCGGGGCUUUCACAUCACACUCGACUAACCGCCUACGCGCCCUUUACGCCCAGUAACUCCGAUUAACGCUCGCACCCUCUGUAUUACCGCGGCUGCUGGCAC
Molecule: ribosomal RNA, 292 nt
Filed under: uncultured bacterium
Lineage: Bacteria
Description: partial 16S ribosomal RNA
Source: RNAcentral